AUGAAGGGUGCAAGCGUUACUCGGAAUUACUGGGCGUAAAGCGUGCGUAGGUGGUUCGUUAAGUCUGUCGUGAAAGCCCCGGGCUCAACCUGGGAAUGGCGAUGGAUACUGGCGGGCUAGAGUGCGGUAGAGGAGAGUGGAAUUCCCGGUGUAGCAGUGAAAUGCGUAGAUAUUGGGAGGAACACCAGUGGCGAAGGCGGCUCACUGGACCGGAACUGACGCUGAGGCGCGAAAGCGUGGGGAGCAAACGGGA
Molecule: ribosomal RNA, 253 nt
Filed under: uncultured prokaryote
Description: partial 16S ribosomal RNA
Rfam family: Bacterial small subunit ribosomal RNA
Source: RNAcentral